UACGUAGGGUGCGAGCGUUGUCCGGAAUUAUUGGGCGUAAAGGCUCGUAGGCGGUCUGUUGCGUCGGGAGUGAAAACUCAGGGCUUAACCCUGAGCCUGCUUCCGAUACGGGCAGACUAGAGGUAUGCAGGGGAGAACGGAAUUCCUGGUGUAGCGGUGAAAUGCGCAGAUAUCAGGAGGAACACCGAUGGCGAAGGCAGGUCUCUGGGCUGUAACUGACGCUGAGGAGCGAAAGCAUGGGGAGCGAACAGG
Molecule: ribosomal RNA, 252 nt
Filed under: uncultured bacterium
Lineage: Bacteria
Description: partial 16S ribosomal RNA
Rfam family: Bacterial small subunit ribosomal RNA
Source: RNAcentral